RNAcentral lists this long non-coding RNA (360 nucleotides) under Pan troglodytes (chimpanzee). RNAcentral describes it as "long non-coding RNA NONPTRT002579". Lineage: Eukaryota; Metazoa; Chordata; Mammalia; Primates; Hominidae. The record is from RNAcentral.
AUAGUCUCUCCUCAAAGUCUCCUGGAAUUGAUUUUUUUUAAACUUCAGUAAAAUUUCAGGAUACAAAUUCAAUGUACAAAAGCCAGUAGUGUCAAUAACAUCCAAGCUGAGAGCCACACAAUAGCAAAGACAUGGCGUCAACCUAGACACUCAUCAAUGUUGGACUCGAUAAAGAAAAUAUGGUACAUGUACACCCUGGAGUAUAUGAAGCCAUAAAAAACUGAAGUAAUGUCCUUCGUGGCAUCAUGGAUGCAGCUGGAGGCCAUUAACCUAAGCAAAUUAACAUAGGAACACAAAACAAAAUACCAAACAUGUUCUUACUAGUAAGUGGGGCUGAACACUGAGUACACAUGGACACCA